RNAcentral lists this long non-coding RNA (224 nucleotides) under Elaeis guineensis (African oil palm). RNAcentral's name for it is "long non-coding RNA (EGUI_LNC068157)". The record is from RNAcentral. Lineage: Eukaryota; Viridiplantae; Streptophyta; Magnoliopsida; Arecales; Arecaceae.
UGGGGGGAGCAACAGACUGACAGCGACGUUUGUAACCGUCUGGCAGUGGGCUGCCCAUAGUCAAGAGAAGUUUGUUGCGAGGAGUAGUGGAGCGAAAUCGUGGCUAUCACCGGGACAUGCCACGUGGAGUCUGUCGCGGAGAGUGGAGCGACGUUCGUUAUCGUGACUUGCCAGAGGAUGGAGAAAUCGUGCGGUAUCCAUCGUAGGAAGUGGAGCAGGAUCGU